AGCUUCCCUUUCUGGUGUGUGCAAUAUUCUUUUUCCUGCAUUUUGUUCAUUACUGCCUGAGCUGUCUCCUUUUUUUUUUUUUCUUUCAGCUCUUUCUGCUUUUCUUGCUCUUUUCUCUUUGUGCUCUCUCUGCACUUUUCCCAUUCUGCUUUCCCUGCACUCAGCUUUUCUCUGCUGCGCUUACUCUCUGUGUUUUUUUUUUCUUUCAUCACACUUUUUAGCUUUCCCAUCUCCCUCUUCUGUUAUGCUUUCACAUAUUUCUUUCCCAUACUUGUCUUGUUUCUAUCUACUUUAGAAACUGCUUCAACUCUCCCCUGUUGCUCCCUCAUUCCUAAUCUCCCUUUCUCCUUUUUUCUGUCGCUUUGCUUUUAUUUAUUUUUCAUGGUUUUCCU
Non-coding RNA from Pelobates cultripes (western spadefoot toad), 392 nucleotides. NCBI's taxonomy places the organism in Eukaryota, Metazoa, Chordata, Amphibia, Anura, Pelobatidae. The record is from the annotation of a GenBank genome assembly.